ACUUGCAUGGAACCAUUGGACUGAAGUCCAGGGACCCCUAGUUUGAAUUGGGGAAAGGAUUGAAGAAGCUGAAAGGGCGAGCAACCCCAUAGGAAGACCAGCAGACUCAACUAAUCCGGACCCAUGAUAGAAUGCUGUCCAAUCCUGACAAACAGAACACAGGUUAGCUGACUGCUGUUUUGCCAAGACAAGGACAAGGAAACCAGUGAUGUCCCAGGCAAGGAAGUAGAAGAUACAUUUUUGUACAAGAUAAUCUGGAAAAGGUCAAUGGGCCUUCUGCAAAAUGAGUUGUAGAGAACUGUCUGUCAAAGUCAUGAGUAUGAUGUCACAUCAGACUGCCGUCCAAGCCAGCUCAAGCAUUGUUCUUUAUAAAAAUCUGUGAAAUUCACUUCAUCUGUUUAAGCAUGAGAAUAUAAGAAUAUUUAAGAAUACCAGUUUGCUACUGAAGACAGCACCUACCCAGCCCUUUGAACAUGGAAAAUUCAAGCCAGUGGCUACAUAAAGCCUCACUUGUACUCACUUUCACCUUUUCAUGUAAGAAGACAGUUUUCACAUUGCUGAGGGGGAAAUGUAAAUGCCCACCAGUCACAAAACUUUUGGUCCACAAUGAUCACCUUCCUGAAAAAUAUGCUAGUGAAAUGGUGGCAUACAGCUGGUGGGAGUAACCAACCAAUAUCUAAUUUGGCUAAAGGUUCAAUCCAUGAGAUGGCACCCAUACUCAACACUGUUUGAGAGCCCGACAACCUGAGACAGCCCAGGGUCCUACAAUAAAACAAAAUACUACUAUUCUACUAAAAGAACAUAGAAAUAAUAGAAUUCUGAAUGACAUUAUGCUACCCUCACAGAUUAGACACUUGCUCAGACAUCAUGAGAGAACUUUCCUCUUGAAAUAGAUAAUGGACUGCAUAGUUUUCUGUCAACUUUAUACAACUGAAGACACUUGAGAGAAGGAAACCUCAAAUGAGAAUUUGCCUCUUUAAAAUUGGGCUGUACCAAGCCUGGAGGUCUUUUUUUUAAAUUUGUGAUUGAUAUUGAAGGGCAUAGCCUAUUGUGAGUGGUGCCUUCUCUGGGUUGAUAAUAUUGAAACCUAUAAGAAUGUAGGCUUGGGCAAGCCAUGGCGAUCAAACCAUUAAAAAGAACCUAUCCGUAGUCUUUGCAUCUGCCCUGGCCUCUGAGUUCCUGCCCUUUUUGAGUUUCUAUUCUGACUUCCUUCAGUGAUAGACAAAAUAUAGAAGUAAAAGCCUUUCCUCCCCAACUUGCCUUUGGUCAUUUUGUUUUAUCCAGCAAUGGCAACUCUAAGACAUAUUAGAACAAAUAUAGAGACCCACAGCCAUAUAAAAUGUAGAGGUUGAGAGAUCAUGUCAUACUCAGCUCCAAAUGGGAUGUCUCCUCUCUGUACCCAUGAAAUCCUGAAGUAGCAGAGCAGAAAAUGUCUAAGAGUCAGAGGGCAUGGAAGACUCCCGGGAAAUAAUAACCUCUAAAUCAACAGUAUCGACACCCAUAUGAAAUCACCGAGACUGAAGCUACACGCACAAGGAGUCCAUGAGUUUGUAUGAAAUGAAGUCUUCAUGCUUAAUGGAGUAGUGGACAUAUGCCUUCUCCCUAGCCCAGAAGCUAUCUCCAAAUCAUAAUCACUUAAAAUUGCAAAUAAAGUCUUCAGGAAGCUCACCUGGAAACCAAACACCUCUUGUGCUUUUAGCUGCAUGCCCGAAAGUAGUAGAUGUCCAACAGAAAAUGAAGUCUUGUGUUACACUUAGUGGCA
RNAcentral lists this small RNA (1762 nucleotides) under Rattus norvegicus (Norway rat). RNAcentral's name for it is "uncharacterized LOC102553529". Lineage: Eukaryota; Metazoa; Chordata; Mammalia; Rodentia; Muridae. The record is from RNAcentral.